AUUGAACGCUGGCGGAAUGCUUUACACAUGCAAGUCGAGCGGCAGCGCGGGGGCAACCCUGGCGGCGAGCGGCGAACGGGUGAGUAAUGUAUCGGAACGUACCCAGUCGUGGGGGAUAACUAUCCGAAAGGAUAGCUAAUACCGCAUACGACCUGAGGGUGAAAGCGGGGGACCGUAAGGCCUCGCGCGAUUGGAGCGGCCGAUAUCGGAUUAGCUAGUUGGUGAGGUAAAGGCUCACCAAGGCGACGAUCCGUAGCUGGUCUGAGAGGACGACCAGCCACACUGGAACUGAGACACGGUCCAGACUCCUACGGGAGGCAGCAGUGGGGAAUUUUGGACAAUGGGGGCAACCCUGAUCCAGCCAUUCCGCGUGAGUGAAGAAGGCCUUCGGUUGUUAAAGGCUCUUUCUAGCAGGAACGAAACGGUGGU
RNAcentral lists this ribosomal RNA (429 nucleotides) under uncultured bacterium. Its description in RNAcentral is "bacterial SSU rRNA". It matches the Rfam family "Bacterial small subunit ribosomal RNA", at positions 29 to 458 of the family's 1533-position model. The record is from RNAcentral.